UUUACUUCCAUGAAAACAUCGCAUGUCUAGGGCUGCUUCAGAGCAGAACAGAAGGGUGCCAGAAAGAUUUCAUUCCUGAAAAGCAGCAGACAGGGAAAUAUUUGCCAGGUUGUCCUGAAGUCUUCAUGAUUGCUCUUCAAAUGCUGCAGCACAAUACUAGUGUACUGAUGAAGGAAGACAGCUCAGGAACCUGGAGACAGGAACUGAAGCAGAGACCACUGAAGAGCAGAGACUGCUACUUACUGACGUAUUCCUAUGGCUUGCUCAGCUUGUUUUGCUCAGCUUAAACAACUCAGGACCUUCUUCCCAGAGGCAGCACCACACACCACUAGCUAGGCUCCUCCCCAUAUUAAUCUUUAAUCAGGAAAAUGCUCCUACAGUGAUGGAGGUAUUUUCUCACUUGUGGUUCCCUCUUCCUGUAU
This is a long non-coding RNA of Apodemus sylvaticus (European woodmouse), 422 nucleotides long. RefSeq lists it as uncharacterized. The transcript is spliced from 3 exons. The record is from RefSeq and is a predicted model, not a curated record. Lineage: Eukaryota; Metazoa; Chordata; Mammalia; Rodentia; Muridae.